UUUCUGAUGGUCCAAGGGUUAGGACUCAGUGCUUUCACUGCUGGGGCCCAGGUUCAAUCCCUGGUUGGGGAG
RNAcentral lists this transfer RNA (72 nucleotides) under Ovis aries (sheep). It matches the Rfam family "tRNA". From Rfam's summary of the family: Transfer RNA (tRNA) molecules are approximately 80 nucleotides in length. Their secondary structure includes four short double-helical elements and three loops (D, anti-codon, and T loops). Lineage: Eukaryota; Metazoa; Chordata; Mammalia; Artiodactyla; Bovidae. The record is from Rfam by way of RNAcentral.